UUACCUAGGUUUGACAUCCGGAGACCUUCCCGAAAGGAAGGGUGCCCUUCGGGAAUUCCGAGACAGGUGCUGCAUGGCUGUCGUCAGCUCGUGCCGUGAGGUGUUGGGUUAAGUCCCGCAACGAGCGCAACCCUAUUGCCAGUUGCUACCAGGUAAUGCUGGGCACUCUGGUGAGACUGCCCCGGUUAACGGGGAGGAAGGUGGGGACGACGUCAAGUCAUCAUGGCCCUUACGCCUAGGGCUACACACGUACUACAAUGGCGCAUACAAAGGGCAGCGAUACCGCGAGGUGGAGCCAAUCCCAAAAAGUGCGUCCCAGUCCGGAUUGCAGUCUGCAACUCGACUGCAUGAAGUUGGAAUCGCUAGUAAUUCGAGAUCAGCAUGCUCGGGUGAAUGCGUUCCCGGGCCUU
Molecule: ribosomal RNA, 410 nt
Filed under: uncultured Desulfovibrio sp.
Lineage: Bacteria; Pseudomonadati; Thermodesulfobacteriota; Desulfovibrionia; Desulfovibrionales; Desulfovibrionaceae
Description: bacterial SSU rRNA
Rfam family: Bacterial small subunit ribosomal RNA
Source: RNAcentral